RNAcentral lists this ribosomal RNA (445 nucleotides) under uncultured ciliate. RNAcentral describes it as "bacterial SSU rRNA". It matches the Rfam family "Eukaryotic small subunit ribosomal RNA", at positions 477 to 948 of the family's 1831-position model. Lineage: Eukaryota; Ciliophora. The record is from RNAcentral.
AAUAUUCGAUCAGCCCUUUGUUGGUUGUGAGUAUAUAUGGAUUGAACAUAAACCGUUCUUUGAAAUCAAUUGGAGGGCAAGUCUGGUGCCAGCAGCCGCGGUAACUCCAGCUCCAAUAGUGUAUAUUAACGUUGUUGCAGUUAAAAAGCUCGUAGUUGAAUUUCUGGGGGGGCUGCCAUCGACACUGUCAUGGUGGCCCUUUCAUCCGCCUUGGAAUCGGGAAGGGUAUUUAUUUACUGGCCCGUGGAAGUGGUAUUUUACUUUGAAGAAAUUAGAGUGUUCCAGGCAAGCCUUUGCUUGAAUACAUCAGCAUGGAAUAAUGGAAUAGGACAUCGUUCAUUUUUUUGGUGAUGAACAUGUAAUGAUUAACAGGGACAGUUGGGGGCAUUCGUAUUCUGUUGCCAGAGGUGAAAUUCUUGGAUUAGCUGAAGACGAACUAAUGCGA